UCUGUUGUUGUCGUCGGCGGCCAAGUUCUCUCUCUUUCUUUAGCUUCUUUUUGUGUUUAGGUCUUAUUUUUUGGCUGGUUUAGAGUUUGAAUCCUUGUAUAGUUAUCUAUAUGUGGUUUGGUUAAUGUAAAUUCAAUCACUGUGUCUGUUUGGCUAUGCAUAUUUAUGUAUAAAUAUUUUUGUAUUUCUUGAAUGUGUAAUUUGUGAGAUUUGAAUUAUGGUGGCAUUUGUAUUGUGUGAAUGCAGAGUUCUGGAAAGUCAUCGGUGUUG
RNAcentral lists this unclassified non-coding RNA (270 nucleotides) under Hevea brasiliensis (rubber tree). The record is from RNAcentral. Lineage: Eukaryota; Viridiplantae; Streptophyta; Magnoliopsida; Malpighiales; Euphorbiaceae.